AGUCCAACCCAGUCCAUCACCUGGAGGCUGGAGAACCACGAGGCUGUUGCCUGUUCGUCCCCCUCUUCUGAGAGGUCCAGGUCACCUGCUCUGGGAGAAGCCAGUUGCCAUGUUGUAAGGACACUCAAGCAGCCCAUGGAAUGACUCACAUGCUGAAGAACUGAGCCCUCCCUCCUUCCAACAGCCAGGGAGGAACUAGGGCUUCUUGCCAAUAACCAUGUGAAGAAGCUUGGAAAUGGAUUCUCCCCCAAAUGAGUCUUCAGAUUACUUUAGACUAACAUCUUGACUGCAACCUCUAGAAAGACCCUGAGCCAGGAUCACCAAGCUCACAGAAGCUAAGAGUUAAUAAAUGUUUGAAUUAA
RNAcentral lists this long non-coding RNA (362 nucleotides) under Homo sapiens (human). Its description in RNAcentral is "HSALNT0302789". Lineage: Eukaryota; Metazoa; Chordata; Mammalia; Primates; Hominidae. The record is from RNAcentral.